RNAcentral lists this ribosomal RNA (235 nucleotides) under uncultured bacterium. RNAcentral describes it as "partial 16S ribosomal RNA". It matches the Rfam family "Bacterial small subunit ribosomal RNA", at positions 99 to 334 of the family's 1533-position model. The record is from RNAcentral.
CGGACGGGUGAGUAACGCGUGGAUAACCUGCCUCACACUGGGGGAUAACAGUUAGAAAUGGCUGCUAAUACCGCAUAAGCGCACAGUACCGCAUGGUACGGUGUGAAAAACCCAGGUGGUGUGAGAUGGAUCCGCGUCUGAUUAGCCAGUUGGCGGGGUAACGGCCCACCAAGGCGACGAUCAGUAGCCGACCUGAGAGGGUGACCGGCCACAUUGGGACUGAGACACGGCCCAA